CAUUAUGAAGCUAACAACAGCAUUAACCUUUUAAGUUAAAGACUAGGAGUUUAAACCUCCUCAUAAUGA
RNAcentral lists this transfer RNA (69 nucleotides) under Glaucomys volans (southern flying squirrel). Its description in RNAcentral is "tRNA-Lys". It matches the Rfam family "tRNA". Rfam says of the family: Transfer RNA (tRNA) molecules are approximately 80 nucleotides in length. Their secondary structure includes four short double-helical elements and three loops (D, anti-codon, and T loops). The record is from RNAcentral. Lineage: Eukaryota; Metazoa; Chordata; Mammalia; Rodentia; Sciuridae.